This 493-nucleotide ribosomal RNA is filed under the name uncultured bacterium. Its description in RNAcentral is "partial 16S ribosomal RNA". It matches the Rfam family "Bacterial small subunit ribosomal RNA", at positions 28 to 507 of the family's 1533-position model. The record is from RNAcentral.
AUUGAACGCUGGCGGCAUGCUUUACACAUGCAAGUCGAACGGUAACAGGCCUUCGGGUGCUGACGAGUGGCGAACGGGUGAGUAAUGCAUCGGAACGUACCCAGAGGUGGGGGAUAACGCAGCGAAAGCUGUGCUAAUACCGCAUGUGAUCUGAGGAUGAAAGCGGGGGACCGAGCAGCAAUGUUUGGCCUCGCGCCUUUGGAGCGGCCGAUGUCGGAUUAGCUAGUUGGUGGGGUAAAGGCCUACCAAGGCGACGAUCCGUAGCUGGUCUGAGAGGACGACCAGGCAACCGGGGGCUUGAGCCAGGCCCCAGACCCCACCGGGGGCAGGCAGGGGGGAUUUUGGGACAAGGGGGCCAGCCUUGCCCCAGCAGGGCGGCGGGGGGGAAAAGGGCCUGCGGUUUUAAACCCGUUUUGGGCGGGAACGAAGGGGUGCCCGCUAAUCCCGGGCGAUAAGCAGGUCACCUGAAAAAAAAGCCCCGCCAAACUCCGUC